This 397-nucleotide ribosomal RNA is filed under the name uncultured bacterium. RNAcentral describes it as "partial 16S ribosomal RNA". It matches the Rfam family "Bacterial small subunit ribosomal RNA", at positions 360 to 774 of the family's 1533-position model. The record is from RNAcentral.
AAUAUUGUACAAUGGGCGCAAGCCUGAUCCAGCCAUGCCGCGUGUGUGAUGAAGGCCUUAGGGUGGUUAAGCCCUGUCAGUGGGGAAGAUAAUGACGGUACCCACACAAGAAGCCCCGGCUAACUUCUUGCCAGCAGCCGCGGUAAUACGAAGGGGACUAGCGUUGUUCGGAUUUACUGGGCGUAAAGCGCACGUAGGCGGAUUGGUCAGUUAGGGGUGAAAACCCGGAGCUCAACUCCGGAACUGCCUUUAAUACUGCCAGUCUAGAGUCCGAGAGAGGUGAGUGGAACUCCUAGUGUAGAGGUGGAAUUCGUAGAUAUUAGGAAGAACACCAGUGGCGAAGGCGGCUCACUGGCUCGGUACUGACGCUGAGGUGCGAAAGCGUGGGGAGAAAACA